Helianthus annuus (common sunflower) is the source of this 61-nucleotide non-coding RNA. The record is from Rfam. Lineage: Eukaryota; Viridiplantae; Streptophyta; Magnoliopsida; Asterales; Asteraceae.
AGCUGAAUCAGUUGCAGGAGCGGUCGGCUGUUAACCGAUUGGUCGUAGGUUCGUAUCCUAC